GACAAAUUUUAGCCAGAUGGAUACCUAGACCACAAGGUAGCAGCAAAAUGGA
RNAcentral lists this unclassified non-coding RNA (52 nucleotides) under Drosophila willistoni. RNAcentral's name for it is "GK14689". Lineage: Eukaryota; Metazoa; Arthropoda; Insecta; Diptera; Drosophilidae. The record is from RNAcentral.